GUAACUCUGGGUCUUCCUUUCCUGUGGUGGUCCUCAUGAGAGACAGGUAACUCUGGGUCUUCCUUUCCUGUGGUGGUCCUCAUGAGAGACAGGUAACUCUGGGUCUUCCUUUCCUGUGGUGGUCCUCAUGAGAGACAGGUAACUCUGGGUCUUCCUUUCCUGUGGUGGUCCUCAUGAGAGACAGGUAACUCUGGGUCUUCCUUUCCUGUGGUGGUCCUCAUGAGAGACAGGUAACUCUGGGUCUUCCUUUCCUGUGGUGGUCCUCAUGAGAGACAGGUAACU
This is a long non-coding RNA of Oncorhynchus keta (chum salmon), 282 nucleotides long. RefSeq lists it as uncharacterized. NCBI's taxonomy places the organism in Eukaryota, Metazoa, Chordata, Actinopteri, Salmoniformes, Salmonidae. The record is from RefSeq and is a predicted model, not a curated record. The transcript has 6 exons.